This 2907-nucleotide ribosomal RNA is filed under the name Clostridium sp. MB40-C1. RNAcentral describes it as "23S ribosomal RNA". It matches the Rfam family "Bacterial large subunit ribosomal RNA". Lineage: Bacteria; Bacillati; Bacillota; Clostridia; Eubacteriales; Clostridiaceae. The record is from RNAcentral.
GAUCAAGCUACAAAGGGCGCACGGUGAAUGCCCUGGCACUAGGAGCCGAUGAAGGACGUGAUAAGCUGCGAUAAGCUUCGAGUAGGUGCAAAUAACCUGUGAUUCGAAGAUGUCCGAAUGGGAAACCCGGCAGGCUAACGCCUGUCACUAUAUGCUGAAUACAUAGGUAUAUAGAGGUAGACUCGGGGAACUGAAACAUCUAAGUACCCGAAGGAAGAGAAAGAAAAAUCGAUUUCCUGAGUAGCGGCGAGCGAAACGGAAAGAGCCCAAACCAGGAACUUGUUCCUGGGGUUGAGGAUAGAACAUAACGCUUUGAUUUUCUUAGCCAAAUAUAACUGGAAAGUUAAGCCACAGAAGGUAAUAGCCCUGUAGGCGAAAAGAAAAGAAGAGUAGUUCUACUCCAGAGUACCACGAGACACGAGAAACCUUGUGGGAAGCAGGGAGGACCAUCUCCCAAGGCUAAAUACUACCUAGUGACCGAUAGUGAAGCAGUACCGUGAGGGAAAGGUGAAAAGAACCCCGGAAGGGGAGUGAAAUAGAACCUGAAACCGUGUGCCUACAAACGGUCGGAGCACUUUAUAUGUGUGACGGCGUGCUUUUUGUAGAACGAGCCAGCGAGUUACGAUAUACAGCAAGGUUAAGCACUUAAGGUGUGGAGCCGAAGGGAAACCGAGUCUGAAUAGGGCAACUAGUUGUAUGUCGUAGACCCGAAACCGAGUGACCUAUCCAUGGCCAGGUUGAAGCGAAAGUAAAAUUUCGUGGAGGACCGAACCACGUUGGUGUUGAAAAACCAUGGGAUGAGCUGUGGAUAGCGGAGAAAUUCCAAUCGAACUCGGAGAUAGCUGGUUCUCCUCGAAAUAGCUUUAGGGCUAGCGUCGGGUAAUUAAGUAGUGGAGGUAGAGCACUGAAUGGGCUAGGGGGCAUAGCGCUUACCGAACCCUAUCAAACUCCGAAUGCCAUAUACUUGUAUCCCGGCAGUCAGGCUGCGAGUGAUAAGAUCCGUGGCAAAAAGGGAAACAGCCCAGACCAUCAGCUAAGGUCCCAAAGUGUAAGUUAAGUGGGAAAGGAUGUGGGAUUUCUAAGACAACUAGGAUGUUGGCUUAGAAGCAGCCACUCAUUUAAAGAGUGCGUAAUAGCUCACUAGUCGAGAGAUCCUGCGCCGAAGAUGUACCGGGGCUAAAACUUACCACCGAAGCUAUGGAUGUACACUACGUGUACGUGGUAGAGGAGCUUUCUACACAGGCUGAAGCCAUACCGUAAGGAGUGGUGGACAGUGUAGAAGUGAGAAUGCUGGCAUAAGUAGCGAGAAACAGGUGAGAAUCCUGUUGGCCGAAUAUCUAAGGUUUCCUGGGGAAGGCUCGUCCUCCCAGGGUUAGUCGGGACCUAAGCCGAGGCCGAAAGGCGUAGGUGAUGGACAACUGGUUGAUAUUCCAGUACCACCAAUAUGCGUUUGACAGAUGGGAUGACGCAGGAGGAUAGGAUGUGCACACUAUUGGAUGUGUGUUCAAGCACUUAGGAGGACUAGACAGGAAAAUCCGUUUAGUCAUAACUCUGAGGUGUGAUGAGGAGCCAAUUGAGGCGAAGUAUCUGAUUCCACGCUGCCAAGAAAAGUCUCUAUGGAGUAUGUUGGUGCCCGUACCGCAAACCGACACAGGUAGAUGAGGAGAGAAUCCUAAGGCCGGCGGAAGAAUUACUGCUAAGGAACUCGGCAAAUUGACCCCGUAACUUAGGGAGAAGGGGUGCCUACGAGAGUAGGCCGCAGUGAACAGGCCCAAGCAACUGUUUAUCAAAAACACAGGUCUCUGCUAAAGCGUAAGCUGAUGUAUAGGGGCUGACGCCUGCCCGGUGCUGGAAGGUUAAGGGGAAUGGUUAGUCUUCGGGCGAAGCCAAGAACUUAAGCCCCAGUAAACGGCGGCCGUAACUAUAACGGUCCUAAGGUAGCGAAAUUCCUUGUCGGGUAAGUUCCGACCCGCACGAAUGGCGUAAUGAUUUGGGCACUGUCUCGGCAGUAAAUCCGGUGAAAUUGAAGUGUGAGUGAAGAUGCUCACUACCCGCGGUUGGACGGAAAGACCCCGUAGAGCUUUACUGUAGCUUAGCAUUGAAUUUCGGUAUUGUCUGUACAGGAUAGGUGGGAGACUGAGAAUCAGGGGCGUCAGCUUCUGAGGAGUCGACCUUGGGAUACCACCCUGACAGUAUUGGAAUUCUAACUGGCGGCCAUGAAUCUGGUCACAGGACAUUGCUAGGUGGGCAGUUUGACUGGGGCGGUCGCCUCCUAAAAGGUAACGGAGGCGCCCAAAGGUUCCCUCAGCGCGGUCGGAAAUCGCGCGAAGAGUGUAAAGGCAGAAGGGAGCCUGACUGCGAGACAUACAGGUCGAGCAGGGACGAAAGUCGGGCUUAGUGAUCCGGUGGUUCUGAAUGGAAGGGCCAUCGCUCAACGGAUAAAAGCUACCUCGGGGAUAACAGGCUGAUCUCCCCAAGAGUCCACAUCGACGGGGAGGUUUGGCACCUCGAUGUCGGCUCGUCGCAUCCUGGGGCUGUAGUCGGUCCCAAGGGUUGGGCUGUUCGCCCAUUAAAGCGGCACGCGAGCUGGGUUCAGAACGUCGUGAGACAGUUCGGUCCCUAUCCGCCGUGGGCGCAGGAAAUUUGAGAGGAGCUGUCCUUAGUACGAGAGGACCGGGAUGGACCAACCUCUGGUGCACCAGUUGUCACGCCAGUGGCACAGCUGGGUAGCUAUGUUGGGAAGGGAUAAACGCUGAAAGCAUCUAAGCGUGAAGCCCACCUCAAGAUUAGAUUUCCCAUAGCGUAAGCUAGUAAGACCCCUGGAAGACUACCAGGUUGAUAGGUCAGAGGUGUAAGCGUGGUAACAUGUUAAGCUGACUGAUACUAAUAGGUCGAGGGCUUGAUCAA